This 301-nucleotide ribosomal RNA is filed under the name uncultured bacterium. Its description in RNAcentral is "partial 16S ribosomal RNA". It matches the Rfam family "Bacterial small subunit ribosomal RNA", at positions 509 to 808 of the family's 1533-position model. The record is from RNAcentral.
CAGUAGCCGCGGUAAUACGGAGGGUGCAAGCGUUAAUCGGAAUUACUGGGCGUAAAGCGCACGCAGGCGGUUUGUUAAGUCAGAUGUGAAAUCCCCGAGCUUAACUUGGGAACUGCAUUUGAAACUGGCAAGCUAGAGUCUUGUAGAGGGGGUAGAAUUCCAGGUGUAGCGGUGAAAUGCGUAGAGAUCUGGAGGAAUACCGGUGGCGAAGGCGGCCCCCUGGACAAAGACUGACGCUCAGGUGCGAAAGCGUGGGGAGCAAACAGGAUUAGAGACCCCAGUAGUCCCUGUCUCUUAUACC